ACGUAGGGGGCAAGCGUUAUCCGGAUUUACUGGGUGUAAAGGGAGCGUAGACGGCAGCGCAAGUCUGAAGUGAAAGCCCGGGGCUCAACCCCGGAAUGGCUUUGGAAACUGUGCAGCUAGAGUACCGGAGGGGUAAGCGGAAUUCCUAGUGUAGCGGUGAAAUGCGUAGAUAUUAGGAGGAACACCAGUGGCGAAGGCGGCUUACUGGACGGUAACUGACGUUGAGGCUCGAAAGCGUGGGGAGCAAACAG
RNAcentral lists this ribosomal RNA (251 nucleotides) under uncultured bacterium. RNAcentral's name for it is "partial 16S ribosomal RNA". It matches the Rfam family "Bacterial small subunit ribosomal RNA", at positions 525 to 775 of the family's 1533-position model. The record is from RNAcentral.